Perognathus longimembris pacificus (Pacific pocket mouse) is the source of this 819-nucleotide long non-coding RNA. RefSeq lists it as uncharacterized. The record is from RefSeq and is a predicted model, not a curated record. The transcript has 3 exons. Lineage: Eukaryota; Metazoa; Chordata; Mammalia; Rodentia; Heteromyidae.
AGUGCCUCAGUCCUAAGUUCAAACUCAAGGAUCAGUACAAACAAAACAAGACAGAGUAUAUAACCUAUAGAACUAAUAUGCAAUUAUAAGAUAUUUGUAAAACUGAAGAGAUGUCCUGGGAAACAUCAUUCACUCACCUUGUCUAUGUUGAUAGGAUUUGCAACAACAAUAAAAAAAUCAGCAUGACCUAGAAAACUUUUUUCCAGAUAAGUAAAUGUAACCCAGAAGCACAUCUAUUAUUUCCAAAUAGGGAGAAUUGUAUUCUCUUAUUGCAAGGAUUUGUAUUAACACCUUCACGUUUUCCAUUUUCUUCCACAUCUGCUAUAAGCUAUUUGAACACUAAGAAUGAACAGUCACAAAGAAAAUAUGCGAUGGUCCAAUAUAUAUUUAGAAGAAUUAUAUAAAAUAGCAGAGAUCUAAGAAGAAUGUGAAAUCCUCAUGUAUUUCAUUACGUUUGAAAACAUUCAGAAGACAAAAGGAAGAGUUGGCUUUUUACUAUUUCACAUGUGAAGAGAAUGAAUUUACUUGAGGAAACUGAAACGAAGAUUUAUAUAACAGGGAAAAGGUCUAAAGUCUUUAAUCUAGAAAAACAAUACUUUGGAUGAGAAUCAAGAUACCUAUUCAUAACAGAAAUAAUUUUUCUGAAUUAUUGUUUCCAAGUGAGAAUGAAAUAAUUCUUGGUAUCAUUGUGCAGACCAGUUCAAGCUAGCUCAAAAGCUUAGUGACACUUACUUAAAAAAUGUGAAUUUGGGCUGGGAUAUAGCUCAAGUGGUAGAGUACUUGCCUAUCAAACAUGAAGCUUUGGAUAUAAGGGAGGGG